GCUCUCCCUGUGCUUGCAUGGGUUUCCUCUGGGUACUCAGGAUUCCUUCCACACUCCAAAGACAUGCUGCAAGGUCAAUUGACUUCUGUCUAAAUUAGCCCGUGUAUGGAUGUUAGAGAGGGACCU
Nanorana parkeri is the source of this 126-nucleotide long non-coding RNA. RefSeq lists it as uncharacterized. NCBI's taxonomy places the organism in Eukaryota, Metazoa, Chordata, Amphibia, Anura, Dicroglossidae. The transcript is spliced from 3 exons. The record is from RefSeq and is a predicted model, not a curated record.